GACGAACGCUGGCGGCGUGCUUAACACAUGCAAGUCGAACGGAAAGGCCCUGCUUUUGUGGGGUGCUCGAGUGGCGAACGGGUGAGUAACACGUGAGUAACCUGCCCUUGACUUUGGGAUAACUUCAGGAAACUGGGGCUAAUACCGGAUAGGAGCUCCUGCGGCAUGGUGGGGGUUGGAAAGUUUCGGCGGGUGGGGAUGGACUCGCGGCUUAUCAGCUUGUUGGUGGGGUAGUGGCUUACCAAGGCUGUGACGGGUAGCCGGCCUGAGAGGGUGACCGGCCACAUUGGGACUGAGAGACGGCCCAGACUCCUACGGGAGGCAGCAGUGGGGAAUAUUGCACAAUGGGCGGAAGCCUGAUGCAGCAACGCCGCGUGCGGGAUGACGGCCUUCGGGUUGUAAACCGCUUUCGCCUGUGACGAAGCGUGAGUGACGGUAAUGGGUAAAGAAGCACCGGCUAACUACGUG
RNAcentral lists this ribosomal RNA (468 nucleotides) under uncultured bacterium. RNAcentral's name for it is "partial 16S ribosomal RNA". It matches the Rfam family "Bacterial small subunit ribosomal RNA", at positions 28 to 507 of the family's 1533-position model. The record is from RNAcentral.